AGUCAUAAUGAGCAUAGUUGUACAGUAAACGUAUGACUUAACCGUUCUUAAGUAAUCGCUAAUUCGGUAAAGUAAAUAAAAUAAUAACUAAUAUACUUACAUCGUAUUUGGAUUAUAGUUUGAGAAUACAGUCGUCAAAGCUAUCGACGUCUUAUUGUUUAUUGUAUCACUAUAAUCCCAGUCGAAGCACAUAAUGGACUCUAAGACUCUGUUAAUCUGCACUGUGAUGGGAUGUCUGAGUUCGUGUUUGAGAGGAGAAACGGCUGGAGAAAGUCAAUCUCUCGAAAGAAUACCGGUAGAAAGUUUCAGCAGCACGGCAAACGAUGGACGUCAAGACAGUCCUUCAUCGUCUUGGAAAUACUGGCCUUGGAAAUUUUGGAAAUGGGGUCGUUCUGUGUUAAACGAGGGUUUAACACAUACUUCUGAUUUAAUGCAGAGUGCAUCUAGAAGACCUUACUAUAAUAAUGUACAUUCUGAACGGAAAUUGAAGAGAAAGAUAAAAUUUCUUGUGAAAAUACAAAAUUAUGACAAAUAAAA
Molecule: long non-coding RNA, 537 nt
Organism: Zerene cesonia (dogface butterfly)
Lineage: Eukaryota; Metazoa; Arthropoda; Insecta; Lepidoptera; Pieridae
Exons: 3
Source: RefSeq, a predicted model, not a curated record